RNAcentral lists this ribosomal RNA (383 nucleotides) under Campylobacter sp. oral taxon 044. Its description in RNAcentral is "bacterial SSU rRNA". It matches the Rfam family "Bacterial small subunit ribosomal RNA", at positions 505 to 885 of the family's 1533-position model. The record is from RNAcentral. Lineage: Bacteria; Pseudomonadati; Campylobacterota; Epsilonproteobacteria; Campylobacterales; Campylobacteraceae.
GUGCCAGCAGCCGCGGUAAUACAGAGGGUGCAAGCGUUACUCGGAAUCACUGGGCGUAAAGGACGCGUAGGCGGAUUAUCAAGUCUCUUGUGAAAUCUAGUGGCUUAACCACUAAACUGCUUGGGAAACUGAUAAUCUAGAGUAAGGGAGAGGCAGAUGGAAUUCUUGGUGUAGGGGUAAAUCCGUAGAGAUCAAGAAGAAUACUUAAUUGCGAAGGCGAUCUGCUAGAACUUAACUGACGCUAAUGCGUGAAAGCGUGGGGAGCAAACAGGAUUAGAUACCCUGGUAGUCCACGCCCUAAACGAUGUAUACUGGUUGUUGGCUAUGGCUAGUCAUGGCAGUAAUCCACCUAACGGAUUAAGUAUACCGCCUGGGGAGUACGG